RNAcentral lists this ribosomal RNA (582 nucleotides) under Rhodotorula babjevae. Its description in RNAcentral is "eukaryotic LSU rRNA". The stretch from base 171 to 324 matches the Rfam family "5.8S ribosomal RNA". The record is from RNAcentral. Lineage: Eukaryota; Fungi; Basidiomycota; Microbotryomycetes; Sporidiobolales; Sporidiobolaceae.
UGCGGAAGGAUCAUUAGUGAAUCUAGGACGUCCAACUUAACUUGGAGUCCGAACUCUCACUUUCUAACCCUGUGCAUCUGUUAAUUGGAAUAGUAGCUCUUCGGAGUGAACCGCCAUUCACUUAUAAAAACACAAAGUCUAUGAAUGUAUACAAAUUUAUAACAAAACAAAACUUUCAACAACGGAUCUCUUGGCUCUCGCAUCGAUGAAGAACGCAGCGAAAUGCGAUACGUAAUGUGAAUUGCAGAAUUCAGUGAAUCAUCGAAUCUUUGAACGCACCUUGCGCUCCUUGGUAUUCCGAGGAGCAUGCCUGUUUGAGUGUCAUGAAAUCUUCAACCCACCUCUUUCUUAGUGAAUCUGGUGGUGCUUGGUUUCUGAGCGCUGCUCUGCUUCGGCUUAGCUCGUUCGUAAUGCAUUAGCAUCCGCAACCGAACUUCGGAUUGACUUGGCGUAAUAGACUAUUCGCUGAGGAUUCUAGUUUUACUAGAGCCGAGUUGGGUUAAAGGAAGCUCCUAAUCCUAAAGUCUAUUUUUUGAUUAGAUCUCAAAUCAKGUAGGACUACCCGCUGAACUUAAGCAUAUC